Molecule: transfer RNA, 71 nt
Filed under: Bos taurus (domestic cattle)
Lineage: Eukaryota; Metazoa; Chordata; Mammalia; Artiodactyla; Bovidae
Also listed under: 6 other names
Rfam family: tRNA
About the family: Transfer RNA (tRNA) molecules are approximately 80 nucleotides in length. Their secondary structure includes four short double-helical elements and three loops (D, anti-codon, and T loops).
Source: Rfam by way of RNAcentral
UCCCUGGUGGCUCAGUGGUAAAGAAUCUGCCUGCAAUGCAGGAGACCCGGGUUUGAUCCCUGGGCUGGGAA